Molecule: ribosomal RNA, 828 nt
Filed under: uncultured organism
Description: bacterial SSU rRNA
Rfam family: Bacterial small subunit ribosomal RNA
Source: RNAcentral
UACUGGCAGUCUCGAGUUCGAGAGAGGUGAGUGGAACCUCCGAGUGUAGAGGUGAAAUUCGUAGAUAUUCGGAAGAACACCAGUGGCGAAGGCGGCUCACUGGCUCGAUACUGACGCUGAGGUGCGAAAGUGUGGGGAGCAAACAGGAUUAGAUACCCUGGUAGUCCACACCGUAAACGAUGAAUGCCAGACGUCGGGCAGCAUGCUGUUCGGUGUCACACCUAACGGAUUAAGCAUUCCGCCUGGGGAGUACGGCCGCAAGGUUAAAACUCAAAGGAAUUGACGGGGGCCCGCACAAGUGGUGGAGCAUGUGGUUUAAUUCGAAGCAACGCGCAGAACCUUACCAACCCUUGACAUCCUCGUCGCGGUUACCGGAGACGGUUUCCUUCAGUUCGGCUGGACGAGUGACAGGUGCUGCAUGGCUGUCGUCAGCUCGUGUCGUGAGAUGUUCGGUUAAGUCCGGCAACGAGCGCAACCCACACCCUUAGUUGCCAGCAGUUCGGCUGGGCACUCUAGGGGAACUGCCCGUGAUAAGCGGGAGGAAGGUGUGGAUGACGUCAAGUCCUCAUGGCCCUUACGGGUUGGGCUACACACGUGCUACAAAGGCAGUGACAAUGGGGUAAUCCCAAAAAACUGUCUCAGUUCGGAUUGUCGUCUGCAACUCGACGGCAUGAAGUCGGAAUCGCUAGUAAUCGCGUAACAGCAUGACGCGGUGAAUACGUUCCCGGGCCUUGUACACACCGCCCGUCACACCAUGGGAGUUGGGUUUACCCGAAGACGGUGCGCCAACCUCGGAGGCAGCCGGCCACAGGUAAGCUCAGCGACUGG